GCGGCCCUUGCGCCCCUGCGGGCGGUGAGGGCGGACCACGGGGCGGAGAGGAGCGCUACGGCGCGGCGUAGCUCCGACGGUUGCUUUGCAGCGAGGACCUUAGAGUUUUUCUUUCCCCGCUCCACACUGUAAAACCGUGGAGCUGGAAAGACCGCUGAAGGCCAUCUCACAUAGCCACCUCGUUUUUAUCAAUGGGCGACUGAAAUUGAGAGGGGAGACGCGGCGCAGGGGGCGGGAAGUCAUGAGACAUCAAUCAAUAUAUGUAAGAAGAACGUUGAUUCAGUCUGGAAAGGCAUGACAUCUUGAAGCAGGAAGGGGGCUUCCAGGUCAUAGGUUUGCCCCACAAGAAGAUAAUUCCCUUCUACUUCUGCUGUGUAACUUCCAUGGUGCAUCAUCUGGUCCAUUGGCACCAGCUCAGGAAGCAAGAUUUCAUGCCUUGUGGUGGAGUCUCGCUCUGUCGCACAGGCUGGAGUGCAGUGGACAAUUUCGGCUCACUGCAAGCUCCGCCUCCCGGGUUCACGCCAUUCUCCUGCCUCAGCCUCCUGAGUAGCUGGGACUACAGGCGCCCGCCACCACGCCCAGCUAAUUUUUUGUAUUUUUAGUAGAGACAGGUUUUCACCGUGUUAGUCAGGAUGGUCUCAAUCUCCUGACCUCGUGAUCCACCCGCCUCAGCCUCCCAAAGUGCUGGGAUUACAGGCGUGAGCCACUGCGCCCGGCAAUACAUUCUUUUUUUAAAAAAUUCCUUGGCUUGUUAAGUUAGGUUGUUUGAAAUCUUUCUUUAUUUUAUUUUAUUUUUGAGACAGGUUCUGGCUCUAUCGGCCAGGCUGUAAUGCAGGGACCUGAUCUUGGCUCACUGCAGCCUCAGCCUCCCCGGGGUUUAAGCCAUCCUCCCACAUCAGACUCCUAAGUAGCUGGGACUACAAGCAUGUGUCAGCACAUCUGGCUAAUUUUUGUAUCUGUUGUAGAGAUGGGGUUUCGCCAGAUUGCCCAGACUGGUCUCGAUCUCCUAAGUUCAAGUGAUCUGCCCACCUUCCAAAGUGCUGGGAUUACAGGUGUGAGCCACUGUGCCCGGCCUUUCUUCUUUUUAAAUGUAGGCAUUUUUCACUAUGAACUUCCUGUUUAAUACUGCUUUUGCUGCAUCCCAUAAGUUUUGACAUGUUGUGUUUUCAUUUUUGUCUCAAGGUAUUUUUAAAUUUCCUUUUUGAUUUCUUUUUUGACAGAGUUCAAGAGUGUGUUGUCUAAUUUUCACAUAUUUCUGAAUUUUCCAGUUUUCCUUCCGCUAUUGAAAGGGAUGGAGGUUGCAGACACAUAGUACUCUGCCACAUAGCUAAUGUCACUCCUCUCAACAUACAGUUUUGAUUUAAGAAAAAUCAUAGUUAACAUUUUAUAUGUUAAAGAAUAUUGAUCUCAGACCAAUAACCAAUAUUAUACUUAGCAAUAAAACAUUAGAAGCAUUUCCACUGAUGUUAGUAAUUCAACUAUAAUUACCAUUAUUUAACAUUAUUCUGGAAGUGCUCAUCAAUGUAACAAUGAGAAAAGGAAAUGAGGGAGGUAUAAAUAUUUGAUAGGAAGAGAUAAAAUUAUCAUUUUUCCAAGAUGAUAUGGUUGCUUGAGAAACUAUUAGACUUAAGACACUUAGAAAGUUUGGCAAUUAUAACAGAAAUAUUAAAAAACUAAUAGCUUUCCUAUAUAUAUCAGCAAUACUCUGUUAAGAUAGAUAAUGGAAGAAAGAACUCAUAUAUGACAGCAAUAAAAAAAUCAAAGCACCUAGGAAUAAACUUAAUGAUAAAUGUACAUAUCUACAAAACUUUACCAUGAAAUCUAGAAAGAAAUUUGAAUACAGGGAAAGGCAGUCCACAUUUCUGUAUUAGAAAAUUUAAUAUUGUAAAGGUAUUAAAUUUCCUCAAGCUAAACCUAUAAAUUUAACAAAAUCCCAAUAAAAAUACCUGGGAACUAUUUUUAGAAUGUGAAAAAAAAACUAUCUUAAGGCUUAUUUAGAAAAAUAAAUGAAGAAUGUCAAGCACACUUUUAGGAAGAACAGUAGUGAAAAGUUCUUUUCCUAACAGAUAUUAAUGUGAACUAGCAAGAUAUAAUAACUAAAACAUUGCUGUUUUAGCUAAAAAAGAGACAGUUCAGAAAUAUAUCCAAAUGUGUAUAAGAGUUUAGUAUAUAAUAAAUCUGCUGCCUCAUGUCAGUGGAGAGAGUGUUAGGAUGAACUGUCUAAUCAUUAAAACAAAGUUAAAUCCAAACUCACAUAGCACACUAAGAUAAAUCCAGAAGGAUUAAAAAUUUUAAUGUAAGUACAAGAAAAUACAGGUGAAUAUUUAUAAAACCUUGGGGGUAAGGGAUGACUUUGUAAACAUGAAACUAAAGGCUUAAAGUAUAAAGGAUGAUAGAUCUGAUUAUAUGAAAAUGUAAAACUUUUAUGUAGCAAAAUUUAUCAUAAACUAAGUUGAAAGACAAAUUACACUGGAGGAAAGUGUCCUUAACCAUAGAUUCUUUCUUUUUGUUUUUCUUUUCUUCUUUGACAGAGUUUCACUCUGUUGCUGAGGCUGGAGUGCAGUGAAUCACCUAAACUCUGGGGCUCAAGUGAUUCUCCUGCCUCAUCCUCCCAAGUAGUUUGGACUACAGGCAUGCGCCACCAUGCCCAGCUAACUUUUUCAUUUUUUUUAGAGAUGGAGUCUCACUGUGUUGCCCAAGCUCAUCUUAACUCCUGGGCUCAAGUAAUCCUCCCACUUCAGCCUCCCAAAGUGUUGAGAUUACAGGCUUGAGCCACCACAUCCAGACCAAAGAUUCUUCUCUUUAACAUUCAAAGAUUUUCUUCAAAUCAAUAAAUGAAAAUACUUCUCCACUCACACUGCUUCACUUGACUAGCC
Long non-coding RNA from Pan troglodytes (chimpanzee), 2876 nucleotides. RefSeq lists it as uncharacterized. The transcript is spliced from 4 exons. The record is from RefSeq and is a predicted model, not a curated record. Lineage: Eukaryota; Metazoa; Chordata; Mammalia; Primates; Hominidae.